Molecule: long non-coding RNA, 595 nt
Filed under: Homo sapiens (human)
Lineage: Eukaryota; Metazoa; Chordata; Mammalia; Primates; Hominidae
Description: non-protein coding LINC00635:47
Source: RNAcentral
AUAGCAACAGCAGCGUAGCUGAACAUCUUACGGAUGGCCCAGGGCUCCAAAGGCUCGUUUCCUAAGUGAGAGAGAGCCUGGCUGAAGCUGUAUUACCAUUCAUUCUCCAGCCUCCGAAGUCUCAAAGCAUCACUUCCACCAUACUCUAACUGUCAAGACAAACACAAAGGCCCAGAAACUGCCAGACUGUCUUCUGAAGUGGCUAUAAUAUUUACACUCCCAUCAGCAGUGUAGAAGGGGUCUCACUAUGUUGUCUGGAGUGCUGUGGUGGAGUGGAGUGGCUAUUCACAGCUGAGUUUGCAGAGUAAACCACUACCCUGAAAUCUGGAAAGGCAGGUGCACCCACAGAUCCUCAGCUGAGAUCCAAUUACCUGAAAUAGAAGCUGCCAUUAGGAACACUUAAAAGAGCCUGUUCUGCUGGGACACAGAAUCACUUGCUCCAUCUCAUACAUUGAUGAUGAUUAAUUUGUAUGUGUACCUUCCAAAAAAGAUGGUUGUGUUUGAAUGGAGGCCUUCUGGACAGGAAAAUAUGGAGAGUGCGUGCUUUGGAUUCAAGACUGGGAAUGAGGGGACCAGAAACCUAUUCUGUGGCUGU